This 427-nucleotide ribosomal RNA is filed under the name Nematoda environmental sample. RNAcentral describes it as "partial 18S rRNA". Lineage: Eukaryota; Metazoa; Nematoda. The record is from RNAcentral.
AAUCCUCUUCUAUUAUUCCAUGCAAAAACAUUCAAGCGAAACGCCUGUUUAGAGCACUCUGAUUUGUUCAAAGUAAACUUGCAGCACCGGACAUCCGCGCACCAGUGAAGGGCGUGGAGCCGAACACUGCAGGAAAGCCAGUGCUGAGACCAGUACACGUCCGAAGACGGACCGGCACACCGGCACAGAUCCAACUACGAGCUUUUUAACCGCAGCAAUAAUUCUAUGCAUUUUGAGAGCUGGAAUUACCGCGGCUGCUGGCACCAGACUUGCCCUCUCAUAGAUACUCGUUAAAGGGUUUAAAUUGUACCCAUUCCGAUGGCAGGCCUCUGAAGAGAACUGCCUCGUUAUUUCUCGUCACUACCUCCUCUGAAUUCUGAGAGUGGGUAAUUUGCGCGCCUGCUGCCAUCCUUAGACGUAGUGGCCA